ACAUAAAUAGUAUAAAAAAUAUAUUAGAUUUAGAUUCUAAAGAUAGUGAGUUAUGUU
This 57-nucleotide transfer RNA is filed under the name Strongylus vulgaris. Its description in RNAcentral is "tRNA-Leu". Lineage: Eukaryota; Metazoa; Nematoda; Chromadorea; Rhabditida; Strongylidae. The record is from RNAcentral.